Molecule: transfer RNA, 72 nt
Filed under: Araneus ventricosus
Lineage: Eukaryota; Metazoa; Arthropoda; Arachnida; Araneae; Araneidae
Description: tRNA-Trp
Source: RNAcentral
UGAUCCGGACGUGAUUUGAACACUCAGCCUUCUGAUCUGGAGUCAGACGCGCUACCGUUGCGCCACCAAGUC